RNAcentral lists this ribosomal RNA (1342 nucleotides) under Cynoglossus semilaevis (tongue sole). Its description in RNAcentral is "bacterial SSU rRNA". The stretch from base 143 to 1342 matches the Rfam family "Eukaryotic small subunit ribosomal RNA". Lineage: Eukaryota; Metazoa; Chordata; Actinopteri; Pleuronectiformes; Cynoglossidae. The record is from RNAcentral.
UAUUGGUAUAAUCAAUCCGGUUCACGGCCCAGUUGAACGAUUUGGCCCGUUCGUGAGCACGACACCAAUUGGAGGAUUUCUUCUCCUCAUAGUCACAGCACCAAAAUUGAAGAAAUCACCUCAUAGGUAGUCUCAGGCAAGGAAUGAGACAGCCGAUAGAUGGUCAAAUCGUUUAAUAACAAAACGAAAUACAAAAUUCCUAAUGUACUUCCUUCUUCCUCUGUCCUCUCUUCCUUCUUUCUUUCCUUCCUUCCUUUCCUCCUUUCCCUCUAGCCUUCCUUCUUCCCUUUCUUCCUUCCUCCCUUCUUUGCAUCUUAGCUUCCUACCUACGCUUUCCUUCUUUCCUUCCUUCCUUCAGAAAUUCAAACUCCAAAAAUCAGUGUUCAAAGCAGGCCCCCAGUUGCCUGAAUUCUCACAGCUAGGAAUAAUGGAAUAGGACCCCGGUUCUAUUUUGUUGGUUUUUCUCUGAACCCGGGGCCAUGAUUGAGAGGAACGACCGGGGGCAUUCGUACUGUGCCGCUAGAGGUGAAAUUCUUGGACUGGCGCAAGACGGGCUAAAGCGUAAGCAUUUGCCAAGAAUGUUUUCAUUAAUCAAGAGGUUCGAAGACGAUCAGAUACCGUCGUCGUUCCGACCGUAAACGAUGCCGACCCGCGAUCCGGCGGCGUUAUACCUAUGACCCGCCAGGCAGGGUCCCGGGAAACCAGAGUCUUUGGGUUCCGGGGGGAGUAUGGUUGCAAAGCUGAAACUUAAAGGAAUUGACGGAAGGGCACCACCAGGAGUGGAGCCUGCGGCUUAAUUCGACUCAACACGGGGAACCUCACCCGGCCCGGACACGGAAAGGAUUGACAGACGGAGGGCUCUUUCUCGAUCCCGUGGGUGGUGGUGCAUGGCCGUUCUUAGUUGGUGGAGCGAUUUGUCUGGUUAAUUCCGAUAACGAACGAGACUCUGGCAUGCUAACUAGUUGCGCGGCCACCCCCGCGGCCCGCGGCCAACUUCUUAGAUGGACAAGUGGAGCGUCAGUCACGCGAGAUGGAGCGCCCCCGCCGCAAACUUCUUAGAUGGACAAGUUGAGCGUCAGUCACGCGAGAUGGAGAAAUAACAGGUCUGUGAUGCUUAGAUGUUCCUUAGAUGUCCGGGGCCGCACGCGCGCUACACUGACUGAGUCAGCGUGUGUCUACCCUUUGCUGAGAGGCGCAGGAAACCCGCUGAGCCCUGCUCGUGAUGGGGACCGGGGGUUGAAACUUUCCCCCGCCAAUGAGGAAUUCACAGUAAGCGCGGGUCACAAGCUCGCGUUGACUAAGUCCCUGCCCUUUGUACACACCGCCCGUCGCUACUACCGAU